Molecule: ribosomal RNA, 503 nt
Filed under: uncultured bacterium
Lineage: Bacteria
Description: partial 16S ribosomal RNA
Rfam family: Bacterial small subunit ribosomal RNA
Source: RNAcentral
AUUGAACGCUGGCGGCAGGCUUAACACAUGCAAGUCGAGCGGGGUGAUGGUGCUUGCACUAUCACUUAGCGGCGGACGGGUGAGUAAUGCUUAGGAAUCUGCCUAUUAGUGGGGGACAACAUCUCGAAAGGGAUGCUAAUACCGCAUACGUCCUAAGGGAGAAAGCAGGGGAUCACUUGUGACCUUGCGCUAGUAGAUGAGCCUAAGUCGGAUUAGCCAGUUGGUGGGGUAAAGGGCUACCAAGGGGACGAUCUGUAGCGGGUCUGAGAGGAUUAUCCGCCACACUGGGACUGAGACACGGCCCAGACUCCUACGGGAGGCAGAAGUGGGGAAUAUUGGACAAUGGGGGGAACCCUGAUCCAGCCAUGCCGCGUGUGUGAAGAAGGCCUUAUGGUUGUAAAGCACUUUAAGCGAGGAGGAGGCUCUUUUGGUUAAUACCCAAGAUGAGUGGACGUUACUCGCAGAAUAAGCACCGGCUAACUCUGUGCCAGCAGCCGCCGUAA